This is a long non-coding RNA of Mirounga angustirostris (Northern elephant seal), 8284 nucleotides long. RefSeq lists it as uncharacterized. The record is from RefSeq and is a predicted model, not a curated record. NCBI's taxonomy places the organism in Eukaryota, Metazoa, Chordata, Mammalia, Carnivora, Phocidae. The transcript is spliced from 8 exons.
UGGGAUCCGGCUGGGUGGGGCUCCCUGCUCAGCGGGGCCUCUGCUUGUCUCUCUCCCUCUCCCCCUCCUUCCCGCUCCUGCUUUCUCUCUCUCUCUCUCAAAUAAAUAAAAUCUUAAAAAACAAAAAAAAAAAGUUACACAUGUUCCAGAGGGAGGAGGGUCGUUAGGCGCCAGGGCUGGUUAGGUCACAGCGGGACCGUCUGCCAACUGGCCUGGAACUGAACACUGGCCACGGCUCCUUAAUCCAGGGUAAGUAGCAAAAACGAACUGCAACUGGGUUAAAAUCUGGCAGGGGCCAUCACGUUAGACCGGGGAGCACGGUUAAGAGAAACGGGUCCUCCCUGUGGCCAAGGCCUCUUUUGGAUCCUCUGGUUCCAGAAAAAGACAUCUCCAUGCACACGAGGUACAGAACGAAGACCGCAGGCAAGAAAACUACCAGCAUCCCUUCUCCCCUCAGCAGCCCCGAACUCAGACCGCCAUCAAACACGGUAAAGGAAUAGCCAGGUAAAAAGUGCAAACCAUUGUCUUGUAAAAGCCUUGAAAAGUCACCUACAUUUGUUGAAGUCCUUAAGUCAGUGCUGCUCAAAGAAUGGUCCAAGACUGGUGUCAACCCACAAACUGUUUCUGGUUCAAAUGAGGUCCUCAGCGUCUUCUCCAUUCAGCUGGUGAUGGAGAAAGAGAGUGAAGACCAAGCAUGGGAGGAAAUUUGUGGGCCAGGCCUGGAAGUGCCACCCGUGACUUCCACUCACAUUCCAUUGGCCAGAACUCAGCCUCAUGGCCACGCUUAAAAGCAAGGAAAGCGGGAAGUUCCUAAUUUUAUUGUCCUGUACUCCAGAAACUAUCUGAUCUUAACCCCAAGGCAGCUUGCUGAUUGCCAAACUACAAGACAGAGGCAGGGCUAUCUGGGCCCCGGUAGAGCCGAUUCCGAGCCCCCUGGCAACCCCUGCCGGCCUUCCACCUCCUUUUUAGAAAGGUAAAUUCUCUUCAGAGUUGUUGAUUCCUGAACAAAUAUUGUCUACAAUAUUAUAGUGGGCCAAACAAUGUCCCCCAAAAUUCACACCCACCCCAAACUUCAGACUGUGACCUAAAUUGGAAAUAGGGUCUCUGCAGAUAUAAGGUGAGGAUUGAGAGGAGAUCAUACAGGAGUAGGGUGGACCCUGAAUCCACUGAGAGUGUCCUUAUAAGAGACAGAAAAGGACACACAGACACACUGAGAAGGGGGCGAUGUGAAGACAGAGGCAGAGAUGGAAGCAGUGCUGCCCCGAGCACCAGGAGCCACCAGAAGCCGGAAGAGGCAAGGAAGGGUCUCCCUGAGAGCCUUCAGGGGGAGCACAGUCCUGCCAGCACCUCGAUUUCGGACUUCUGACCUCCCAACCACAUGUGAGAGAUACAGUUCCAUUUCAAGUCACCAGACUUUUGGUGUGGUAAUUUGCUGUAGCAUUUCUAGAAAACAGAUACAGUGGCAAGUGCACUUUCCCAAUUCUAUUGAACUACAUGUCUCCAAACCUUCAGAAUUGCCAAGCUGAGUUAAGAAGAAACAGGAUCUGGAUCUGUUUCCCACAAAAAUGUCAAUAUUUGCUAACACAAAGAGCUGGGAGUACCCCCAAUGGGAUGCCAUCUGUCCUUGUCUUGGAGAGCCUGCCAGGAAAUCUUUCCACAGCCAAGAGAGGAUUAUUUAGCAUAGCUGACACUGAAAUUCAGCAAGGUGGCUGACGGACCAGAAACUGGCUGAUGUAAAGAGAUAUUCUGCCAUGUGAAAACAGGAAGUAUAGAAAUGUGUUUCAUGUUUGAGACUGUAAACGAAGGAUUAUGUAUUUUCCCAAAAUAUUUCCUAUAGGAAUCUUGUAACCAGCAGGAUCACCUUGUUGAUUUAAACAUUCGGAUCAUUAACAAGUCAUUCUGCUGUACAGCUUUUUAGGAAGUGAGCAGCUGGUGAAAGCCAGUUCCCCUCCCAGGGUUCCCCAAUUUCGGCCGUGCUGUCUCUCCAGCAGAGAAGCUCACUGCUCUCUUCUGUUACAUGUGGAAACUCAGUUCCUUGGCAGUUUUAGGGGAGAGGCAGAACACACAUCACCCAGCUUCUCAAGUGUGAGCUCUGACCUGGGUUCCCAAGGAGGGUCUUAGCUACUUGGAUUCCUUUGGGGGAAAACAACGACGACCACACAACCACCACCCAGAUUCCUUUGGACAGCAACCUGAGGAGUAAUUCAGGAGGUCAUCCUGGGCAGAAGUGAAAUUCUUCAAAAUACGUUGGACAGCCGUAUCAGGGUCUAGUUCUCUGCCCACACAGUAUUGCUCUGUGGGAUAUUUACCACUCAGAAUUGCUUAUCCAUUUGUAUAUUGUCCGGCUCUCCCCUGAAAACAAAUUCCUUUAAGAACCUCAAACCAGGGGCGCCUGGGUGGCUCAGUUGGUUGAUCGUCUGCCUUCGGCUCAGGUCAUGAUCCCAGGGUCCCAGGAUCAAGCCCCGCAUCAGGCUCCCUGCUCAGCGAGGAGCCUGCUUCUCCCUCUGCCCCUCACCCGGCUCACGCUGUCUCUUGCACUCUCUCUCUCUCAAAUAAAUAAAUAAAAUCUUAAAAAAAAAAGAACCUCAAACCAUCUGUAGCAUCUGAGUCCAUAGUAUUCUUGUGACCCCUAAACACUCUGUCCAGCUGUGUCCUUUCUUCCAAGUUUGCCUGCUGCCAGCCUUCAGCGAGACCUUCAUCUAAUCUCACUCUUCUCAAGAAAAGAAUAGUCAUCCCAGCCUCAACAGAGCUCUAGGAGAUCUCCCCCAGCUAUCCCUCCCGUAGGCUGAAUGGACUAGGAGUCUUCUCUCACAGCAAGGCAUUUGGCUGCUCCACAGGCUGCUUGGCCCAGCUUAAGUACUUCCAGCUAAUCCAGGAGGGUCUUGGCCAGUAUGGAAAUACAUUUCAGCCCCCCAUGGGGUGGGCAUGUUUACCUACACACUUUUGGAUAUGCACUAAAUUAAUUAAUUCAAUAAAUAUUUAAUGAGCACCUACUAGGCGCUAAAAAAACCCAGGAAUAAAACAAACCCCAGGUCUGUUGGAGUUUGCAGUCCACAUGGGGCAGACAAACAAUCAACAAAUAAUUUUUCAGGGGGUGAUCAAUGCUAAAAAAUAUGAACAAAGCAGGGAAAAAGAGAUAAAGGAGAGGUGAGUGAUGGUAUGUGUACGGGAGCUCACACCUGUGUUACAUAAGGAAGUGCCUAGGGAAAGUCUGACUUCAAGAGGGCAAGAGAGAGAACCACACAGCUAGCUGGAUGAAAGAGUAUUCCAGGUAGUGAGAAUAGUGAGUGCAAAGGCCCUGAGACAGGUGAGCACCAACUUUUUUCAAAAAAUAGCGGGAAGGCCAGUGCGGAGAAGGGUAUCAGGUGCCAAGUCAUACUGGACCCAUCACAGACCAUGGUGAAGAAUUUGUACUUUACUCUGAGUGAGAUGGGAAGCUAUUAGAGGACUGUGAACAAGAAAUUAAUACAUGCACGCAACAAACACUUAAGGAAUGCUUUUAUUUUUGCUUUCCUUGACUCUACCCUGCUUUAUGAGAAUGGUAUUUUCUUUUCCAAAUAUGGAAGGAUGGAAAGCAAAUAUAAAAAUCCUGAUCUUAAAAUCUCUGGGUCUAAUUUUAACAUCCUACAUCUACCAGAGAUUUGGUUAUUAGAAAACUACCCCAUGUCCAAGACUUAGGUCCUUCUUUUCAUUUGUUGCUCAGCAACGUAUUUUAAAAAUACUUCUUAUAUGGACAUUUUCAAACUUAAUACAAAAUUAGAACACCCAGCUUCCAGCAAUUAUCAAUUCCAUGGCUAGACUUUUUUCUUCUAAACUGUCAUCUGUUUUCCUCCCCUUCUUUUUUUUAAGAUUUAUUUAUUUGACAGAAAGAGAGAGAUCUUGGAAGGGAGGGGCAGAAGGAGAGGGAAGAGAGUAUUAAGCAGACUCCCCACUGAGCGCAGAGCCCCACGUGGGGCUCCAUCUCAUGAUCCUGAGAUCAUGACCUGAGCUGAAACCAAGAGUCCAACAUUUAACUGACUGAGCCACCCAGGCGCCCUUCCGCCCUUUCCUUAUACAGAAAGGGUACUUUACGACAAGUCCCAGGCACAUCUUUUCAUCCGUGAAUGCUUCAAUAUGUAUUUCCAAAAAUAAAAUCUUUCUUUUUUGCAUCAUCAUAAUGCCAUAUCACACCUACAAAUUGAACAAUAAUUCCUUAAUACCAUAAAAAAAUCCAGUCAGUAAUCAGAUUUUUCUGGUUGUCACAUUAAUGCUUUAAAAAAAUUAGUUGAGGGCACCUGAGCUGAAGGCUCAGGUCAUGACCCCGGAGUCCUGGGAUUGAGCCCCGUAUCGGGCUCCCUGCUUGGCGGGGAGUCUGCUUCUCCCUCUGCCUCUGCCUCUCUCUCUGUCUCUCAUGAAUAAAUAAAUAAAUAAAUCUUUUUAAAAAUAAAUAAAUCUUAAAAAAAAUUAGUUGUUUUGUUUAAAUCAGGAUCCAAACACGGUUCACACACUGCAUUCGGCUGAUAGGUCUUAUAAAUCUUUUUUAAACUGUGACUGUUCACUCUCCCUCUUUUUUCCCCCUUGUCUUUUAUUUGUUAAAGAAAGCUGAUGAUUUAGGGUGCCUAGGUGGCUCAGUUGGUUAAGCGACUGCCUUCAGCUCAGGUCAUGAUCCUGGAGUCCCGGGAUCGAGUCCCGCAUCGGGCUCCCUGCUCUGCAGGGAGUCUGCUUCUCCCUCUGACCCUCCCCCCUCUCAUGUGCUCUCUCUCAUUCUCUCUCUCUCAAAUAAAUAAAUAGAAUCUUAAAAAAAAAAAAAGAAAGCUGAUGACUUAUUCCUUAGAAGUCCCCCAUUUUCUAUCUUGCUGAAUGCCUCUGCAGGGAGUUGUUGAAUAUUCCUCUUUUCCCCCCGUUUUGCCUACAAACUGGUAGCCCUCGAGGCAUAAUCGAGUUGGAUUUUUUUGGCAAGACUACCUCAUAGAAAGUGCUGUCCACUUCCCGUUGCACCCCAUCAGGAGGUACGCCCUCCCUCCCUCCUUCACUCUCUCUUUGUAGUAAAACACAUAUAGGAGUAAAUUUACCGUUUUAGCCAUAUUAAAGAGUUCUGUUCAGUGGCAUCUAGUACUGGAACAAUGUUGUACAAAUAUCACUACUAAUUCCAGAACUUUUCCAUCACGCCUCAAAGAAACCCUUGACCCACGAAGUCGUCACUCUCCAAUCGCUCCUGCUCCCAGUCCAGGGAAAUACAACGUUAAAUGAAAGGACACAGGCUUCUUGGCUGCACAACUUCCCAGCGGCCUCAACAUCACCACCUCCAGACCAGCCUGGCGGAUCCCAGCCCUUGGCCCAGACAUUUUGGUUGUGAGGCCACAGAGCAGUCUGGCGUGUUGAAAGCAAACCACACUGGCGUCUAGGAGACCUGGAGGUCUCUAAUAGACGGCUUUGAUUUUCCCUCAUCGGCAGCAGCCACAACCCUCGUCCGUCUGCAAGCCAGCCCCUAAUUCAUAAUCACUAUUAACCUUAAAAAGUCGGCUGGUUCUGUGGAUCUGGUUCCUGCAGAGGUAACUCACUUAAUCAAAAAGGAUCAAUUUCCUAGAGAGAAGAGAACAGUGCAUUAGCCAAGCAAAGAGCGGUAGCUCUGCUUCUGAAUUAGACUCUCCAACAAGCCCAUGAGCGCUUUCCACUCCUCUCAUUCAGCCUUUCCUCCCUUUCAAAGUUUCCAGACCUCUUGCCAUCCUGGUGGUCCACCAUCAGCUGGUGUCAAUUAGCCAAUGGUCUUAAAAGGGAUGCCCAGCAAAGGAGUAAAAGAUGGCACAGAUAGUCUGGUUGGAGUCCCCUUUUCUAGGCAGUAUACUUCUAGAUAGUUGGAAUUGCCCAAGUCCCUCUCCCUACUUCAGAGGAGGAGGACAAACGAAGAGAAGGAGGACAGACGAAGAGAAGGAGGUUCCACUGGAACCGCGUCAUGCCUGCGAACCGAGGAGCCAGCGAGAGCAAGCAUGCCCGCUGUCUGAUGAGCUACCCUCUCUCCCUCUUGCCGGCCUGGUCUGGACUAAGUUCUCUGGGUCAUGUCCCUCCGUUUGGUUGGCUCCCUGAAGACCUUCAGGAGAGCUAGAUUGGUCCUGGGUUAUGCGCCCGCAGAGUUCAGCAAGUUCAGUGAGGUGAACUGGUACCUGGACACGGGGCUUGAAGAUUACUGGCCUGUCAAGUCACUUGAUGAGUCGAGAUACAGUCUUACCAUUUCAAAGCUAUCAAGACUAAAACCCUCAAUUAUAUACCCAUAAAAAAAUUUAAAACAUAACAAGUGCAACCCCAACGACAACAAAACACUGAAAAACUAAAGUGUUUCCCUCCCCCUCAUGUCAAUGAGUAGGUUUUCUUAACUGAACCAAGGCCGUCCAUCUAUUUGAACUGGGAAUCCACCUCUGGGUUCGAUCAAGGAUUUCAGGAAAAUAAAUGUAUCUACUAGAAAAGCCUUACAAAAAGUACAAAAAGUACAUCAUUUAAAGGUGUGCAUUUGGGGGGCACAGGGCAAAUUCCAACGGUACAAAGGGCAUGUGAUGAAAAAUAAAGCUCCUUCUUAUCCUUUCUAGGUUUUGUUCCUUAGAGAUAUUCAGUGAGACCGAUUUGUUGGCUAUUCUUUGAAAAUAUUUUAUGCUUAUAUCAUAUACCACCUCCUACACGUGUAGGCAGCUUCUUGAAAAGCAAGUUGUUUCUGACCUUUUUGCUAUUGUAAAAAAUGCUCUAAUGAAAUGUCCAUGUCCCUAUACACACCUGUGCCAUGAGUCUCUCAGUCCAUGGGGAUAAAUGUAUUUGAAGGGUGCAUUUCAGGAAGUGAAAUUAACAGGCUCAUUGACUAUGCACACACUUAGUUUUGAUAGAUGGUCCAAAUCCCACCCCCAGUGCCUCCCCCCCACCCCAGGGGUUGAGCCAGUUUAUCAGACACCAAGAGUGUAUGAGAGUCAUCUUCCUGAAUGUUCUUAUUGCUUCUAAUAGUUUUUCUGUUGAUUUUCUGUGUGUUCUUCCAGUUAUAAAAUACAUCAUUGCAGAUAAGGAAAAUUUUACCUCCUUAUUUCCAAUUUUAAUUCUAUUUUCCUUUUGCAUUGACUUGUAAUUCGAGAGUAAUGCUAAAGAACAGUGCGGAAAGUGGGCAUCUUUGUCUUUUUCCUGACUCUAUUACCUCCUUAAUAAAUACAAAAAUAUUUUUUUUUCUUUUCUGAGAAUUAAAAAAAAACCUCCAAGGGGCACCUGGGUGGCUCAGUCGUUAAGCGUCUGCCUUCGGGUCAGGUCAUGAUCCCAGAGUCCUGGGAUCGAGCCCCGCAUCGGGCUCCCUGCUCGGCGGGAAGCCUGCUUCUCUCUCUCCCACUCCCCCUGCUUGUGUUCCCUCUCUCACUGUGUCUCUCUGUCAAAUAAAUAAAUAAAAUCUUUAAAAAAAAAAAAAAAACCCUCCAAAAUAAGAUGUUAAAUUUUAUCAAAUAACUUUCUGGAAUCUAUAUAAAUUAUUUUAUUUUAUAUGAAAAUAAUUUAUUAUGUUAAAUUAAGAUUGCUCAGGAAAUCAAAGAUUUCUGGUUGCCCCGAAUCUAUCAAAAAUUAUUAUGGUUACAACAUUAUUUGUAAUAGAAAACAAAAACAAAAAUCUAGAAACUUUGAAAGUGUUUCUCAACAGGGAAAUGGUUAAAUAAAUUAUAGCACUUUUAUAUAGUGGGAAGCUAUUCACCUUUUUAAAAAAUAAUGAAGUAGAUUAUAUAUGCCAAGAUACAUCAAUCUGAGAUCCAAGGUCAAGUAAAACUAGCAAAUGCAAUAUAGUGUGUGUCCUCAUUUGUGUAAACAAUACAAAGGGAUAUGCACAUGUAAAUAUGCAUGUAUAUACAAAGAAAAAUUCUGCAAGGACACAGAAGAAACUAUUAUUAAUGUUUACUUCUUGAUGAAGGAUAGAUGUCUGGGGAUUUGAGAUAACUCUGCUCUAUUUUGGAUUUUUUUUAAAAACCACAUACAUUUAUUCCUUUUUCAGUGAAAAAAAGAAUAACAUAAAAGUAAUGGUUAAAAGAAAAAAAUUUGUCCAUGUUAAAGGUUUAAAUGCUAAAAGAUGAAAGACAAGCAAUAUUAAACAUAACUAAUUAUGGGCCACAUUUGUCAUACAGAGGUUUUUGUUGUUUUGUUUUUGCACUUGAGAUAGAUACCUUACUCCUCUCAUCCUAGUCCCAGUUUUAUGAUAAAGCUCCAUCUUCUGGAAUUUUCCGGACGCCCCUAUACUCCUCUGCAGUGGGAACUUAAUCCAGCUGAGAUGGCCUCACGCUUACCUCUGGGGGAAUCAUGA